RNAcentral lists this ribosomal RNA (459 nucleotides) under uncultured bacterium. Its description in RNAcentral is "partial 16S ribosomal RNA". It matches the Rfam family "Bacterial small subunit ribosomal RNA", at positions 339 to 795 of the family's 1533-position model. The record is from RNAcentral.
CUACGGGGUGCUCCAGUGAGGAAUAUUGGUCAAUGGGCGCGAGCCUGAACCAGCCAUCCCGCGUGCAGGAUGACGGCCCUAUGGGUUGUAAACUGCUUUUCUAUGCCAAGAAACCUGAUUACGUGUAAUCAGUUGCCGGUAGCAUAGGAAUAAGCAUCGGCUAACUCCGUGCCAGCAGCCGCGGUAAUACGGAGGAUGCAAGUGUUAUCCGGAUUCAUUGGGUUUAAAGGGUGCGCAGGUGGGCUUGUAAGUCAGUGGUGAAAUGCUGCCGCUUAACGGUAGAACUGCCAUUGAUACUGCGAGUCUUGAGUAUGGUUGAGGUAGGCGGAAUGUGUUGUGUAGCGGUGAAAUGCAUAGAUAUGACACAGAACGCCAAUUGCGAAGGCAGCUUACUAAGCCAUUACUGACGCUGAGGCACGAAAGCGUGGGGAGCGAACAGGAUUAGAUACCCCAGUAGUC